AGAAUGUGCAGUCCAGCAUUCAUGUUCAUAUUUGUGUGAAGUACUCAAGUGAAUACCAAGUUGUUUCCCUUUUAGUCCUCUUCUUUCUCGUUGCAGGUGGCUUGUUCCUCCUGAGCGCUCUCUUGCACCCCUGACACGUGGCUGCUCAUCUUCCCUCCACACUGGCUACUUCACUCUGCUUCUUCAGAAGGCCUCUCCCUUGUCAGCAUGGAGCUCCUCCUUUAGCGGCUGCUUCUGAACACUGGGUUGGAUCCUCCCCUUGUUGUACAUGUUAUACUAACACAGUUUCUGGGGCAAACUGUUCCGUUCGUUCUUAGAAACAGAACACAUACUUGAAACUUUCCCUCCUUAAGGGCAUUUCCCUGAAUUUGUAGCACUCACCCCCCCCCCCACAACUAGGCCCCUUAAAACUGAGUUGCUAUAGUUUGGAUCUGGAAUGUCUGCAAAGGUUCAUGUAUCCCCAGCUCGGGAUUUUUGGGAGGUGGUGGGAAACUUUAAGAGAUGAGGCUUGCUGAGAGGCUUUCUGAUCAUUGGAAGCAUAAUCAGAGCAAGUAUUGAAAAUAAUAAUUUGGCCUUUUUAUUUGGGUGAACCCAAAUGAGAGACAUUUGGAGGCUGCUAUGUUUGGGGUAGGUAUCCCCCAAAGGUCCACGUGUUAAACUGUUGGUCCCCAGAGUGGUGCCAUUAGAACUGUUAAGAGUCAGGGUCGAGUGGAAGAUCCUUAGGGGGGCUAUAGAACCCCAGUCUCUUCCUCCCCUUCAGUUUUACACCACAAGAUGCUCCCACUGUGAUGUACUGCUUCACCACAGGCCUAAAGCAAUGGGGCCAAUAGAUCAUGGACUGGAACCUUCAAAUCUGUGAGCCAAAAUAAACCUCUUCUCUUUAUGAGUUUAUAAUCUCAGGCAGUUCAUUAUAGCAAUGCAAAGCUAACUAGGGCCAAAAGAAAUAAGAGAUGGAAAAAUCAAUUCUCCAAGAAGUAGUAGACCCCCUUUAUGAUCAUUUCUUGUAUUUGCAUUAAGUAUUUCCUGUGGUAUCCUCUUAAAAAC
This 1044-nucleotide long non-coding RNA is filed under the name Marmota monax (woodchuck). The record is from RNAcentral. Lineage: Eukaryota; Metazoa; Chordata; Mammalia; Rodentia; Sciuridae.